GCAGAUCUGGGAGAAAAGGGGCGACGACACUGUAGAAAAUCUCACCUCGCCGGAGCUUUGACCGGUCGUUUGGGUGGUCAAACGACCUCCGUUUCAGCUUAGAUUUGGAGGGGGUGUUCUAUUCGACGAGGGGAACAAUCCUACGAUGGCCAAUCGUAUUUUUAGCGGCUGAAUUCUUAGAUAUGUGGUAGGGGACCCUAACCCUAAAACUUAAAUUUUUAUGUUUUUCCCUUGAAAAAAAUUGUAAAUAUUGUCAUUAUGAGUUAAUUAGGAAUUAUGGGGAUUGUAUGAAUUUUUCUAGAAUAUUUGGAAUUUGUUUGGAAUUUUUGUAAUUGCGGGAAAUUGAUUUUGAUUGAUAAUUAAUUGUUUUGAAUUGUAAAAAAAUUAUUGGAAGGGUUGAAAAAUUCCAAAAUUAAGGCUAAAUUUCAAAAAUAGUGAUUGGUGAAUUUUUAGGCAUUAGUUAGAAAAUUUUUGGAAUUUUUAUGAUAGAAAGUUAGUUAAUUUCGAAUAUUAGAAAUUAUUAUAAUGGUUGAAAAAUUCCGUAAGUAUGGUAAAAUUUCAAGAUUUUUGAUAUGCAAAUUUUUGAAUAUUUAUUUGGGAUAUUAUCAGAAAUUUUAAUGUGUGAAAUUAUUUUAUUGGAUUAUUGGGGAAUGUUGAAAUUGUUGAAUUAUUGAGGAACCUUGGAAUUGUGGCAUUCAUUUUCAUCAUGGUUAUGUGGAAAAUAAAUAAAAUUAUGAAGAUUGUGAAAAGUGUAUGAAAUGGAAAAAAAAAAGAAAAGAAAUAGUGAUGAGAAGUGAAAGCCGUGUGGAGCGAAUUAAGAAGGGAGAGAGAUCCUUAGGGUGAAAGACCCAAAAGUUACCCCGGGAAGACUCCGAAUGGGGAGUGUAUUUGGGUGCGGACGCUUAUCCUUCGGUGAAAGCCCAAGAACAAUAGUGCAUUGUAUGACUGUGUGUCAUACGUUCAUGUGCAUUCAUGUAAUUGUUGAAUAUUGUGAAAUUGUGUAUAAAAUUAUAUAUUAAACUAUGUGGUUUGAUUGAUAUUGUUGAAUUGUCCUGUGGUGUUGAAGUGUUCUUUUCGUAUUCUUUGAAACUUAGUAAUCCCCUUAACCCCUUGGGUGUUAGGCACCCUACUAAGCAAUGUGGAAAUGCUCACCCCUUCCUUGUUACACUUUUUUAGAUGCAGAUAUCUCUCUUGAGGAUCCACAGGUGGAGCAGGAAGGACUUCAGGAUGCUCCUGGAGCGGCCUAGUGGAGCGUGACAUUUUCUGUUAUUGUGUUUUUUGUUUGGAUUUUGGGAUUUGUUUUAGUAAUUAUGACUCAUGGAUUUGUUAUGAAGCUUUAUUUUGAUUAAGUGUUAAUUGUGAACUUUUAUUUUGAACUAUAAUGAAUAUUUAUUUAAUCUUGUUGUUUUGAGUAGUUUUGGGAUAUUGUGGUUUAUGAGAAUUCUAGUGGGAUGUAUAAAAAAAAAAUCCAAAGUGUUUUGGUUGACUGCCAACGUGGAAUAAAAGGAACCCUUAGGGUCAAACCUUUGACCUGGGGUCACGGGUCAAAUUUUGGGUCGCCCGGAAUUUGGGUCGUGACAGAUGGCAAGGUCGAAGAUGUCGGGAGUGGUGUUGAGGUCCGACUGGAAGGAAUUAACGGACGAGAGAGUGAAGGUUUGUGAGUGUAUGAUGCGUUCUCUCGAGUCGGAUCAGAAUAGCUAUGUUUUUAAGCAAGUGGCGGGAUAUUUGGCUACAAAGAAACUCAGUUUUGUGUUGUUGGUAAGGAAUGAUGAGUGUGGGCCCCACUCUUACAUGGCCAUGGUCUCUGCACCACCUAAAAGACCAUAUCUCAUUAUUUAUUUAUUUUUUAUUAUUCUUCAUACCUUAAUAUCAAAGUUUAAUUUUUCAAGUUUCCAAUCCUUAAAACUUAAUUUUUCGAAAUUCUAUUCUUAAAUUUACUUUUUAAAAUAAUUUUCCAAAAUUCUAAUUUUUGAGUUUAAAUUUUCGAAACCCCAAUUUCUCUUGAAUUUAAUUUCUAAAAUUCCAAUUCUUAAAAAUAAUUUUCCAAAAUUCCAAUUCUUAAAUUCAAUUUUCUGAAACUCCAAUUUCUUAAAUUUAAUUCUUCAAAGUUCAAUCCUCGAAAUAAUUUUCUAAGGUUCUAAUUUUAAAUUUAAUUUUCCAAGAUCCAAAAUUUUAAAUUUAAUUUUCUAAAAAUUCCAUAAUUCCGAAUUUAAUUUUUAAAAUGUCACCUCCAAAUAAAUUUUUGAAACUCCAUUCCUUUCAAAUCAAAUAUUCAAAAAUUCAAUUCUCAAAUAAUUCUUCAAAAUUCUUUUUUCUUAGAUUUAAUCUUCAAAUUUCCAUUUUCAAAUAAUCUUUUUUUGAAAUUCUGAUUCUCAAAUUUAACUUCUAAAACUUUUAUUUUUAUUUUUUAUUUUAUAAUUCUUCGAAAUUUCGAUUUUCAAAAUUAAUUUCCAAAUUUCGAAUUUUCUCAUUUAUUUACUUAAUCAUUAUUAUUUUCGUUAUUUAUUUAUUUAUUUAUUUAUUUAUCUAUUUUUAAAAUUCCGAUUUCCAAAUUUAAUUCACAACUUUCAAAAUUCCAAAUUUUCAAUUUCUGAAUUUGAUUUUCAAUUCCCAAAAUUCCAAUUUUCACAUUUAUUUAUUAUUAUUAUCAUUACCGUUAUUAUUAUUAUUAUUAUUAUUAUUAUUAUUAUUAUCAUUAUUGUUUUAUUUAUUUUUUUUUUUGAAGAAAAAUUUCAUCUUCAAAUAAUUUUCAAGUUUCCAAUUUCUAUAAUUUAAUUUUCAAAACUUCGAUCCUCAAGUAAUCUUCCAUUUCUCUUGAUUUUACAUAAGUAAGAAUAAAUUUUCUUAAUUCCGAAAUAAUGAAAUUUGUGAGACCAAUUCAUGUUAGAUAAAUUGAGUUUUGGUAAGGGCCCUACCUAUGAGUUUUCUCUUCUGAUUGUUGAUUGUUAUAUUUAAUGAAUGUUGCUUAAUCUUAGUCUUGUUCUUUGAUUUGCAUGUGAUAAUUUUAUACUUGAACUAACAUUGUUUCCAUAAUAGCGCAUAAUGGCUUGCUGCUAAGGUACGCACCCACUCACACUUUGAUCGUUCUCCAUGCACGUUUUGGCUCCAAGUGUAUGAUCACUUCUUGGUAUAUGUGUUUGAUAAAUCAAUUGUCAUAUGUGCUUCAUUUCAUCAGUAGAGACCCAUUUUUAGGGACUUAGAGGGGUGUUAUGGUCUUUACUAUACCUUCCUAAUAAGUAACCUGACCCCCGAGCCCGAUUUGAUUUUUCACAGACCACAUUUUCCAAAUAAGGAGUCAUACUUAGAGUUUUCUUUCUUAUUUUGUUUACCCUUUAAAAAUAAAACAAAAAUAAGUGGCGACUCCAAGUCUUUUUUCUAAAAUUAAAAAAAAAACAUAUAAUAAUAAUAAUAAAUAAUAAAUCAUUUUCAAGUAGAAAACGAGUUUGCCAUUGAGUGGAAGUGCAUGAACCGAAAUACAGGGUCCACAAAAUGAUGACUCUAUUAGGGAUCAACUAGAGGGUUAAGCUUAAACUUAAGAUGAGGCAAAUGUGGCGUUUGAUGGGUCGAUCAGUGGGUACCUAUCUCUUGAUUGCACAUUGAGAGCUCUUGGUAUCAUUGGACGCAUGCUUGGUUAUUGUAUUCAUUUGGGACAUUGACAUGCUAAUUGUGUUGAUUGAGGAUUCUGAUAUAGCGAUGUUUCUAUGCUUCAUUGCUAUAUUCGUUUGAGACAUUGACACGUUGAUUGUAUUGAUUGAUUAUUUUGCUUGUCUUAGCAUAGUGACUUUGAUUUUGUCAUGAUUGUUCUGUUCACUUCACAUGCAUAGACUUACUGUUGUAUAUCAUUUGACUUGAUGUGUUGAUUCUCUGGCUUGGAUAUUAUCUUGAUCAUCUUUGAGCAUGUUGUAUUUGUCAUUAUUCAUUUUGAUUGUCAUAGCUUGUAUAUGGACAUGAGUGGUAUAUUCAUACUUUGCUUGAUUGUAUGUUGCAUGACUGCUCUCCUCUGUGUGAUUGCAUGCCGCUUGUCCGUGUUGGCCGCACAUCAAUCCUCUUACCUCCAACCCUCUAGUUUCGGUCAUUUCCUGAUAAUUUUAUACUUGAGUUAACAUUGUUUCCAUAAUAGCGCAUAAUGGCUUGCUGCUAAGGUAUGUACCCACUCACACUUUGAUUGUUCUCCAUGCACAUCUUGGCUCCCUGUGUAUGAUCACUUCUUGGUAUCCGCGUUUGAUCAAUCAAUUGUCAUAUGUGCUUCAUUUCAUCGGUAGAGACCCAUUUUUAGGGACUUAGAAAGGUGCUACGGUCUUUACUGUACCUUCUUAAUAAGUAACAUGACCUCCGAACCUGAUUUGGUUUUUCACAGACCACCUUUUCUAAAUAAGGAGUCACACUUAAAGUUUUUUUUCUUCUUAUUUUGUUUAUCCUUUAAAAAUAAAACAAAAAUAAAUGACGACUUCAAGUCAUUUUCUAAAAAAAAAAACAUAUAAUAAUAAUAAUAAUAAUAAAAUAAUAAAUCAUUUUCAAGUAGAAAGUGAGUUCACCAUCGAGUGAAAGUGCAUGAGCCGAAAUGCGGGGUUCACAAUACGUUUUUUAUUUAUUUAUUUUCUUUCGUUUUUUUAUCCUUCCACUUUUUCCUUCUAUUUUCUUUUUUUUUACAUUUUCUCUUGAAAUUUUCAAGAACUAAAUAUGACUUAAGGAAAAUGAUUUUCUUAUUAUUGUUUUAUUAUAAAAAUAUGAAAUAAAUAAAUAAAUAUAAUUAAAAUAAUUAGAAACUUAUGCGAUCUCACUUAUAUAGAAAAAUUAAAAUAAGUGAAAUGAAUAUGAAGUACCAUAUGAAAAUAAUUUAUUCACUUUAAAUAUAUUUUUAUUUUUCUUUACUUUUUAUUUUUUUCUACUUUUCCUUUCUUUUUUUUUUUUUCCUAUUUUUCCUCAAGUCUUGAAGGAACCAAACAUAAUCUAAUACAUUCCAUUUUCUACUACUAUUUAUUUUUUUAAUCUUUUACCCUCAUAUUUUCCCGGUAAGUAAACAUAUAUUAUUGAUUGGAAUGGAGGGGACUCAAAUUUUGAUCCUAGACAAAAGGUCCUAGUCAACAAAGAGGAUAGUCAUUAGCCACUCAACAUUUAUGGCCAAUUUAUAUCAAACAUUAUUGACAUGUUUGAUAACUAUUUUCAAAAAUAGUUCUACAAAAAUUAUUUUUGAUAAUAGUUUUCUGUUAUAUGAUAUUUUGUAAAGAAAAAAUAUGUUUGAAACUUCAAAUGUUUUUAAUCUAUUUUUAAUAUUUUUAAAUAUGUUUCAAAAAUAAUUUUUAUGCUUAAUGUUUUUUUAAUCAUUUUACAUCUUUUGCAUAAUUAUUUUUUUAAAACAACCUUUGGAAAAUAAAUAAAAAAACAAAAAAAAAAUUAAAAAUGUUAUCUAAAAAUACCUUAUUUUUUUGUUUUUAAGAACAAAAAACGCAAAACAAUUUUGGGUUGUUAAACAUGCUUUCCUAUUUUUUUUUUUUUUUUUGAAGAAUAGAAAAUUGCUUUUAAAAAUAGUUGUCAAAUAACCCUAUAUCUUUUCAUGUUACAAAAACCAAUCGUGUUUGAUAAUUAUUAACAAACAUAAUUUUCUAUUUUUUGGAAUAGAAAAUAUUUUUAAAAUUUUAAAAUUAUGUUUAACGGAUUUUGAAUUGAAGAUAGAUUGAGAAUUGAAAAUAUGAUUAUUUUUCAAAAUAAAUUUGAGGUGUUUUUUAUAGAGUGUUUUGAAAAAUACUUGAAUAUACAAAGAAUAGAUUGUAAACAUAGUAUUAUCUAAAUUUGUAUAUUGCUUUCAUGUAAGAUUAAUUGAGAAAAUGGUUGGCAAGAGUUGAAUUCUUAAAAAUGAUUUUGUUUCUAAAAUUCUAAAAAUAAAAAAUAAAAUUACUUUUGACCAAGUGUUAUCAAAAACUAUUAUUGAGAUUUUUUUUAAUACAUAAUAAAUUAGAGCCAUAUUAUUAUUAUUUUUUUUUCCUUUUAGAUUGCGUUAAACUUUAAUGUUUUUAAGGAAAGAUUUUUAGUUCUGUGUUAUGUCUCUUAUGUAUCUAAGUGGGUCUUUAGUAAACCAACUUUUAAAGUGAUUUAAUAACUUAAUUUAAGUUAUUAAUUAAAUUAAGUAUGUUUAGUAAAAUAAAUUAAUGAUAUGAUUUAGAGUAAAAAACAAUUUUAAGUAAUAAGUAAAAACAAUUAACUUAUUUUUAAGUUUAUAUCUUUAUUUUACCUUUUUACCCUUAUUUAUCCUAAUUACCUUAAGGAUCUCAUUUGCUACUCCAUGACCUCCAUUCUUACUCAACUUCCUUUGCCCUAAUUAUAAUUUAUGAGAAUAAAUAUAUAAAUUUGAUGACUUAAAAUAUAUUUUAAAUUAAUUUUAUCAAAUAACUUAAAAAUAAAAAUUAAAUAAUAAGUUUUAAGUUAAUAACUUAAUUAUAAUUUAAUUUAAAGUCAACUUAAGUCAUUAAGUAAUAAGUAUUAAGCUUUAUCAAACAUUCCCUAAGGUUAUAUUUGAUUCUUGAAAAGUUUGAGGGAAAAUGUAAGGGAAAGAAAAUAGAGAAGAAAAGUAAAAGGAAAGAGAAAGAGAAAGUGAAGGAAAAUAAAAAAUAGAUUUAAAAUAAAUAAAUAAUUUUUAUAUACUAUUUCAAACUUUUUUUUAUUAUUUAUUUAACUCUUCUAUAUAAAGAUUAAAUAAUUUAAAAAUAUACAAAUAUCUUAAUAAUUUUAAUUAUAUUUAACUUUCUUUUGUAUUUUUAUAAGAAAAUUAAAUAUGAGAAAAUUAUUUUCUUCAACAUUUUUUUUCUUUCCCUAAUAUUUUCUAAGAACCAAACAUAGCCUAAGUCCUUGCCUAAAGUAUGGAAUGUCUUUGGCUCAAAAUCAUAUAAUAUAUUUACUUAUAAUAAUUUUAAAAUAUAUAAUCAAUUUUAGGGUUAUAAAUUUAUUUAAAAGAGUAAAUAAAAUAUAUUGAUGGUGAUUACUUCUUGGUGAUCACCAUAAAAUGCAAUUAUAGAGUUCAAAUAUAUAUAAAAAAUAUGAAUAAAUUUUAUAAAAUUCAAUAACAUAUAUAAAAGAUAUUGAAGGUCUAUAAUCUUAUGAAGAUCAAUUAUAAACUUAUAAAAUGUGUUGAAAAUUUGAAAUUUGUUACACAUGUGGGCUGAAUGUUGAAUCAAUGCAAGUCUAAAGCUUGAGAACUUAGGCCCAAUUCCAUGGUGACUGCACCAUGGAAUUGGGCUCCAAGGGCUGGACAAGCCCAAUUCCAUGGUGCAGUGACCUUUUCUUUCUUUCUUUUUUAAUUUUGAAAACAUAGCGUGUUGAGCCUCGAGAAGCCCAGGUCCAAUUAGUAGCUGAAAUGAAAAUAAGACACACGUCUAAAAAAAUGUUUUUUUUUCUUGUUCUUUUAUAUAUAUAUAUAUAUAUAUAUAUAUAUAUAUAUAUAUAUUGAAACAUGAAAAAAAAUGACAUUUUUAAUAUUUUCCAAAAUGAUCCAUUCUAUUUUCUAACUUUAGAAAAAGAAAGAAAGAAAGAAACAUGUCUAAUUUGAAAUGGUAUGAAACUAACAAAAGAAAAUUUGAAAUAGUAUAAAUCGUUGUCAAAAUUUUUAAAAACUUUAUUUAUUUAUUAUUAUUUUUUAGUAAAUUUGCUCUCACACGCCAUAUAAAUUUUUAAGUAACCCUUUCGUGUAAGGUCAAGGGUCAGUUGCUUUUACAAACAAGUUUGAAACAAGAAAUUUAAGAAGUUGAUAUUUUUUCUAAACGGAUUAGAUAUCCAUCACUUUUCAUAUGAAAAAUUUUCAAAUGAUGAGAAAAAAGUUGACAAAAAUUUUAGAAGUGAAAAACUAGGAAAAGUAAAUUAAAAUUGGGGACCAUGUAAUUGAAUAUUCAACAAAAUUUUUUUAAAAAAAAACAAACAAAGAAUGAGAUCCAACAUUUGACUAUAUGAAAUAGGAAAGGAGGCAUGAGGCAUGCGUCUCUCACUACAUCAAGGUGUGAACAUGACCCAAGCUAGAGUAUCUGCAUACCUCAUUAUAUCUAUUCACCCAAGGCACCACCACACCUCGUGUGGAAAGAAUCAAAGCCACGCACCCAACACACUACACUUUGUUUUUUCUUUCAAACAAAUCUUUGUGCCAAUGCCCAUCUGGCUAGGUUUCCUCCUUUGGUGAUUGUGUGCUAUAAUGGAUAUGGUAUAGUGACACCCAUGAACAUAAACUUUUCAUGAAAUUUACACAAAAUUAUAAGGAUGUUAAUU
This 8247-nucleotide long non-coding RNA is filed under the name Vitis vinifera (wine grape). Its description in RNAcentral is "long non-coding RNA (VVIN_LNC003611)". Lineage: Eukaryota; Viridiplantae; Streptophyta; Magnoliopsida; Vitales; Vitaceae. The record is from RNAcentral.